RNAcentral lists this ribosomal RNA (714 nucleotides) under uncultured bacterium. Its description in RNAcentral is "bacterial SSU rRNA". It matches the Rfam family "Bacterial small subunit ribosomal RNA", at positions 65 to 774 of the family's 1533-position model. The record is from RNAcentral.
AGCGGGAAGUAGUUUACUACUUUGCCGGCGAGCGGCGGACGGGUGAGUAAUGUCUGGGAAACUGCCUGAUGGAGGGGGAUAACUACUGGAAACGGUAGCUAAUACCGCAUAACGUCUUCGGACCAAAGUGGGGGACCUUCGGGCCUCACGCCAUCGGAUGUGCCCAGAUGGGAUUAGCUAGUAGGUGGGGUAAUGGCUCACCUAGGCGACGAUCCCUAGCUGGUCUGAGAGGAUGACCAGCCACACUGGAACUGAGACACGGUCCAGACUCCUACGGGAGGCAGCAGUGGGGAAUAUUGCACAAUGGGCGCAAGCCUGAUGCAGCCAUGCCGCGUGUGUGAAGAAGGCCUUCGGGUUGUAAAGCACUUUCAGCGAGGAGGAAGGCCAAUAACUUAAUACGUUGUUGGAUUGACGUUACUCGCAGAAGAAGCACCGGCUAACUCCGUGCCAGCAGCCGCGGUAAUACGGAGGGUGCAAGCGUUAAUCGGAAUUACUGGGCGUAAAGCGCACGCAGGCGGUUUGUUAAGUCAGAUGUGAAAUCCCCGCGCUUAACGUGGGAACUGCAUUUGAAACUGGCAAGCUAGAGUCUUGUAGAGGGGGGUAGAAUUCCAGGUGUAGCGGUGAAAUGCGUAGAGAUCUGGAGGAAUACCGGCGGCGAAGGCGGCCCCCUGGACAAAGACUGACGCUCAGGUGCGAAAGCGUGGGGAGCAAACA